This 45-nucleotide non-coding RNA is filed under the name Schistosoma mansoni. Lineage: Eukaryota; Metazoa; Platyhelminthes; Trematoda; Strigeidida; Schistosomatidae. The record is from RNAcentral.
AUCCAGCUGACGAGUCCCAAAUAGGACGAAAUGUGAUUCCUGGAU